UAAGAAUGAAUACAUGAAACGUUACGAGGAGGCUGUCAAUGACAGGCGAAAAAUAUCAGAUGAUUAUUCGAUCCAUAUUACAAAUCUGCAAACAAAGAGCAAAACUUUAGAUGAUAAGUGUAUUAACUUAUCAAAAGCUUUAGAAGCUGCAAAAUGUGAAUCUUCUGAUUGGAAAUUAAAAUACGAACAUAGCAUAUCUGAGCUGAAGGGCGAAGAAGAUAAAUUUAAGGCAGAAUUUGUCAUCCUUAAGUCCAGAGCUAGUGCUGCUGAGGGGAGAUUGGAUGCUGCUCGUGAACAAUCUGAGUCUGCUAACCAAGAAGCUUUGGAAUGGAAACGGAAGUAUGACACGGCUGUUGGUGAAGCCAAAGCAGCACUGGAGAGGGCAGCAUUAUCACAGGAACGUACAAACAAGAUGGCAUUAGAAAGAGAAGAUCUUAUACGAGAGGAAUUUUUUAAUCAGUUGUCCGAAAAGGUCUCCAUUUUAAUUUGAUAUUUUAAUUUUUUGGGGGGGGAUAUUUUAAUAUUUUGUCAUUUUAAUUGGUUCAAUUUUCUUUGUACCAGGAUGAAGAUAUUAAAAUUAUGAAGAAUGAAAUAGAAUCUUCUGAGAAAAAUAUUUCAAAUAUUAUUUCCCAGUUGCAGGUAAUAUCUGUUUUUAUAUUUUGGAUUUUAUAUGCUCAUGCUUCCUUUUGGCCAUAUAAAAUGAUAGUGUUAUUGUUGAUACUUGAUAUUUUUAAAUAAAAAUACAGGUUUCUGAGUCGAAACUGAUGGACCGUGCAUUAGAAACCUCAACUUUGAAAGAAAGAAUCAAUGUUUUGGAUGAGAAAUUAGAGAUUGCCAAUGCUACGGCCCAGUCGUUUGAGAAGGAAGUGCGACAACUGAAGCAAGAAGAGAAUCACCUUAAGGAUAAGUAUCUCUCUGAGUUAAAACAGUUUGAAGAAGGCGACCUGAGGUGUCGAACUGCUGAAAUGACUGCAAAAAAGGCCACUGAAUUGGCUGACAAUGCACGGGCAGAGGCAGCUUCUGCCCUGAAGGAAAAGAAUGAAAUCCAACGAGUGGCAAUAGAGCGAUUGGCGCAAAUUGAAAGAGCUGAGAGACUAGUUGAAAAUCUAGAGAGGGAUAAAGCUAGAAUGAUGGAUAAAAUUAGGAUACUAGAGACAUCUGAAAGGGAUGCCAUAUCCAAAGUUGCACUUUUGGAGGAAAGGGUGGAUGAAAGAGAGAGAGAAAUGGGGUUGAUGCUAAAUAAAAGUAAUGAGCAUCGAUCCGACACUGUUCAAAUGCUUGAGGGUCUUCUGGCCACGGAGAGAACAGCACUGUCUGAAGCCAAUGAAAGAGCGGAAAGUUUAUCUGUCCAAUUACAAACCACUCAAAGGAAAUUGGAUGUAGUACACCAAGAGUUGGCAUCUGUUCGAUUGAAUGAGACAGCACUAGACAGUAGACUCCGAGCCUCUUCACAUGGUAAACGAUCAAGGAUGGACGUAGAUUCCAUGCAAGACAUGGAAGUUGACAGAGUAAGCAAGGGGAGAAGAAAAUCCAAGAGCACCACAAGUCCUUUUAAGCUUGUCCCUACAGAAGAUGGUGGUUCUGUUUACGGAGGAGAUGAUGAUGAUGGUAAGAGCCAGAGCAGCGCAAGAGAUUCCGAAGAUUAUACCAAGUUCACCGUUUCCAAACUGAAGCAGGAACUAACGAAGAAUGGAUUCGGUGCUGAAUUGCUUGAGCUUAAGAGUCCCAACAAGAAGGAUAUUGUUUUUUUGUAUGAGAAGCAUGUUCUGAAGAAGUAAACCUUCUGUUGUCUUAGUGUUUUACCCAAUUCUACCAUUUGUCUUAGUGUCUUAAUUUCGUGUGCUCUUUAAUGUUUGACGUGGUUGUAGAUUUGUGUAUUUUUUUUACCAAUCUUAUUUAUUCUUAAACUGCAUUUUAUUGUAUCUCAUCUUAUUCUCUUUGAAACAUAUACAUCAAGCCUAAUUCAUUUAUUCUACCAUGUUGAUUUGAAUUUUAUUUCGUGUUUGAUCUUUUUAAUUGAAUGUGUGUUGUGAGUUUAUGCAGUAGUGGUUAUUGAGAGUUGCAUGCUAUUUUUGUAAGAUAAUCCUAUGCUUUAUUAUUUAUUAAUUGUAAAUGUGGCAUACAGGAUUUCGCAUAAAGAUCACAUUAUCAGGAAUGGAAAAAGAAUUCCCAAAGAGCCUGAAACGUUGAAGGGAGAGUAUUGGUUAUCAUUUGGUCAUACCAGAUAUCGUGCUUCGAUUAUAUCACCCGUAUCUGAAAACUCGGACAGACAACACAAUGAAGGUGGAACGACCCGUAUAGGAAUAGAAGGGGACUUCAGGUCGACCUGAGAAAGUCGACCCCUAGUCAGAAUUGAGGCUGUUAGGCCGUUAC
RNAcentral lists this long non-coding RNA (2373 nucleotides) under Zostera marina. RNAcentral describes it as "long non-coding RNA (ZMAR_LNC002898)". The record is from RNAcentral. Lineage: Eukaryota; Viridiplantae; Streptophyta; Magnoliopsida; Alismatales; Zosteraceae.